Molecule: ribosomal RNA, 482 nt
Filed under: uncultured bacterium
Lineage: Bacteria
Description: bacterial SSU rRNA
Rfam family: Bacterial small subunit ribosomal RNA
Source: RNAcentral
AUGAACGCUGGGCGGCGUGCCUAACACAUGCAAGUCGAACGGAGUUGUCACCAUGAAGUUUUCGGAUGGAAUGGAGGCAACUUAGUGGCGGACGGGUGAGUAACGCGUGGGUAACCUGCCUCAUACUGGGGGAUAACAGCUGGGAACGGCUGCUAAAACCGCAUAAGAUCGCAUCACCGCAUGGUGAGGCGGUUAAAUAUCGAAAGAUAGGUAUGAGAUGGGCCCGCGUCUGAUUAGCUAGUUGGUGAGAUAAGAGCCCACCAAGGCGACGAUCAGUAGCCGGCUUGAGAGAGUGACCGGCCACAUUGGGACUGAGACACGGCCCAAACUCCUACGGGAGGCAGCAGUGGGGAAUAUUGCACAAUGGGGGAAACCCUGAUGCAGCGACGCCGCGUGAGUGAAGAAGUGCUUCGGCAUGUAAAGCUCUAUCAGCAGGGAAGAAGAUGACGGUACCUGACUAAGAAGCCCCGGCUAACUACGUG